RNAcentral lists this ribosomal RNA (303 nucleotides) under uncultured bacterium. Its description in RNAcentral is "partial 16S ribosomal RNA". It matches the Rfam family "Bacterial small subunit ribosomal RNA", at positions 507 to 807 of the family's 1533-position model. The record is from RNAcentral.
AGCAGUAGCCGCGGUAAUACGAAGGGGGCUAGCGUUGUUCGGAUUUACUGGGCGUAAAGCGCACGUAGGCGGACUUUUAAGUCAGGGGUGAAAUCCCGGGGCUCAACCCCGGAACUGCCUUUGAUACUGGAAGUCUUGAGUAUGGUAGAGGUGAGUGGAAUUCCGAGUGUAGAGGUGAAAUUCGUAGAUAUUCGGAGGAACACCAGUGGCGAAGGCGGCUCACUGGACCAUUACUGACGCUGAGGUGCGAAAGCGUGGGGAGCAAACAGGAUUAGAUACCCGAGUAGUCCCUGUCUCUUAUAC